CGCGGGGUGGAGCAGCUCGGUAGCUCGCUGGGCUCAUAACCCAGAGGUCGCAGGUUCGAAUCCUGCCCCGCUACCA
Molecule: transfer RNA, 76 nt
Filed under: Pseudonocardia sp. AL041005-10
Lineage: Bacteria; Bacillati; Actinomycetota; Actinomycetes; Pseudonocardiales; Pseudonocardiaceae
Description: tRNA-Met
Rfam family: tRNA
About the family: Transfer RNA (tRNA) molecules are approximately 80 nucleotides in length.
Source: RNAcentral